RNAcentral lists this ribosomal RNA (458 nucleotides) under Capitonius sp. RB-2000. RNAcentral describes it as "partial 16S ribosomal RNA". The record is from RNAcentral. Lineage: Eukaryota; Metazoa; Arthropoda; Insecta; Hymenoptera; Braconidae.
CUGCUCAAUGAUAUUUUAAAUAGCUGCAGUAUAAAUAACUGUACAAAGGUAGCAUAAUAAAUUGAUUUUUAAAUGAAAUCUUGAAUGAAAGAAUAAAUGAAAUAUAAACUGUCUCUUAUAAAAAUAUAAAAUUUAUUUUUUAAGUUAAAAAACUUAAUUUAAUAAAAAAGACGAGAAGACCCUAUAGAAUUUAAUAAUUAUAUAUAUUCAAUUUAUAUUUUAUAUAUUAAAAUAUAAUUAUUUUUUUGGGGAAAAAUUUUAAUUUAAAACUAAAAAUAUAUUUAUAUCAAUUAUAAUUGAAAAAAUAAUCUUAAAAAUUAAAUUAAAAAAAUUAAUUACCUUAGGGAUAACAGCAUAAUUUUUUUAAUUAGAUCAUAUAUAUAAAAAAGUUUAUGACCUCGAUGUUGAAUUAAGAUAAAAUUAAAUGAAAAAUUUUUAUAAUUUAAGUCUGUUCGACU